Molecule: ribosomal RNA, 508 nt
Filed under: uncultured bacterium
Lineage: Bacteria
Description: partial 16S ribosomal RNA
Rfam family: Bacterial small subunit ribosomal RNA
Source: RNAcentral
AUUGAACGCCGGCGGCAUGCCUUACACAUGCAAGUCGAACGGCAGCGGGGGAGAAGCUUGCUUUUCCUGCCGGCGAGUGGCGAACGGGUGAGUAAUACAUCGGAACGUGCCCUGUAGUGGGGGAUAACUAGUCGAAAGAUUAGCUAAUACCGCAUACGACCUGAGGGUGAAAGUGGGGGACCGCAAGGCCUCAUGCUAUAGGAGCGGCCGAUGUCGGAUUAGCUAGUUGGUGGGGUAAAGGCCUACCAAGGCGACGAUCAGUAGCUGGUCUGAGAGGACGAUCAGCCACACUGGGACUGAGACACGGCCCAGACUCCUACGGGAGGCAGCAGUGGGGAAUUUUGGGCAAUGGGCGAAGGCCUGAUCCAGCAAUGCCGCGUGUGUGAAGAAGGCCUCCGGGUUGUAAAGCACUUUUGUCCGGAAAGAAAUGGCUCUGGUUAAUACCUGGGGUCGAUGACGGUACCGGAAGAAUAAGGACCGGCUAACUACGUGCCAGCCGCCGCGGUAA